UAGCGCUGUGGAACCACCCGAUCCCAUCCCGAACUCGGAAGUGAAACGCAGCUGCGCCGAUGGUAGUGUGGCUCAAGCCAUGCGAGAGUAGGUCAUCGCCA
Molecule: ribosomal RNA, 101 nt
Filed under: Stenotrophomonas maltophilia
Lineage: Bacteria; Pseudomonadati; Pseudomonadota; Gammaproteobacteria; Lysobacterales; Lysobacteraceae
Source: RNAcentral